UACGGAGGGUGCGAGCGUUAAUCGGAAUUACUGGGCGUAAAGCGCGCGUAGGCGGUUUGAUGAGUCCGUCGUGAAAGCCCUGGGCUUAACCUGGGAACUGCGGUGGAUACUGUCAGGCUAGAGUGUGGUAGAGGGGAGUGGAAUUUCCGGUGUAGCAGUGAAAUGCGUAGAGAUCGGAAGGAACACCAGUGGCGAAGGCGGCUCCCUGGACCAACACUGACGCUGAGGUGCGAAAGCGUGGGGAGCAAACAGG
RNAcentral lists this ribosomal RNA (253 nucleotides) under uncultured bacterium. RNAcentral describes it as "partial 16S ribosomal RNA". It matches the Rfam family "Bacterial small subunit ribosomal RNA", at positions 524 to 776 of the family's 1533-position model. The record is from RNAcentral.